AUGUUAGUGUGUGGUACCCUGCAGGAGGGAAAUUUCUGUAGCAGCACACUGACAAGUCUAGGAGAAAUGGGAAAUAUGGGUUCCAGGGGACAGGGAGAUAUCCUUGGGGGAGUGCCUACCAACCGUCCUUUAGGAAGGAUGCUGAGAAAUUGGAAGAAUAACCCCAAAACUAAGGAAAAAGAUAGGAAGAAAAUGUUUAAAUAUUGUGUAUCAGUCUGGACAAAAGAACCAAUUAAAGGAACUGCAGUAUUUUGGCCAAAAUACAGGUCUGACAAAGAUUGGGUAUGUCAGGCCUUAAAUAUUUAUAACAAAUUUCCAUUUUCGGAAGAUGAAUCAGAGUAUGCAGCUUGUUGGGUACAAGGAACAAAUUUGGUUUUGAGCAAAAAUCAGAAUAAAGAAGGAAAGAAAGAGGAAGAGACAAAUAGUAAAUGGGACCUCUUAGACAACUUGCCUCCUCCUUAUAACCCCCAAGCUGCAGCAGCAGCAGCGGCUGCUGUAGUAGCUUCUCUGAAAGAAGAGACAGGAACUGUAAAUAACAUUAGCUCUGGGAACAGGAGAUACCCCAGACUUGUAAAAGAAUUGGAACAAUGUAAAAAAGACCUUGAGAAUUUUCCAUUCCCUGAUACUAAUACUACUAACACCACUGAAGCUGCUAUGUAUCCUCUCAGUAAAGUUCUGCUGGGACCUGAACAGAUAGGAUAUGUAAAUGCCCCCAUUACUAGUGGAGAAGUACAAAAUUUUAAAAAGGAAAUGAAAUCUCUGAUUGAGGACCCCAUUGGAUUAGCAGAACAGUUAGAUCAGUUUUUGCGACCCAAUUUAUAUUGCUGGGGAGAAAUGAUGGCAAUUCUGAAUCUGCUAUUCUCAGGGGAAGAACAAGGAAUGAUUAGAAGAGCAACAAUGAGGGAACGGGGAAGGGAUCAUCCUCCAGGAGAUGGCGUGAUUCCAGCAGAGCAAAAAUUUCCAAAUGUGUACCCUAACUGGGACAACAAUAAUGUGCAGCAUAGGGGUUAA
RNAcentral lists this long non-coding RNA (1011 nucleotides) under Anser brachyrhynchus (Pink-footed goose). RNAcentral describes it as "lncRNA (ENSABRG00000014463.1)". Lineage: Eukaryota; Metazoa; Chordata; Aves; Anseriformes; Anatidae. The record is from RNAcentral.